RNAcentral lists this transfer-messenger RNA (405 nucleotides) under Muribaculaceae bacterium. It matches the Rfam family "transfer-messenger RNA". From Rfam's summary of the family: Bacterial tmRNA, also known as 10Sa RNA or SsrA, is named for its dual tRNA and mRNA-like properties. Its role is to liberate the mRNA from a stalled ribosome. The record is from RNAcentral. Lineage: Bacteria; Pseudomonadati; Bacteroidota; Bacteroidia; Bacteroidales; Muribaculaceae.
GGGGGUGACUGGCUUUGACAGCAUGUAGAAGCGGUAGGUAAGCAUGCAGAGUUUUGGUGUUGAAACUCUAUAAUCGCAACAGCAUCGACCUAUAAUUGGCGAAAAUAACAAUUACGCUCUCGCUGCGUAAGCUGAAGUACAGUAGGCUUCCUUAAUUCGCCUCAAAGAGGAGGCGAACGAGACAUCGGCCCAUUGCCCCGUUCCGAGACGUUUGGAUCAGCCGGUGCUAAGAAAUUCGGAAAUAGGAGUGGGGGAGUCCCGACCACACUCCGAGAUUCAGGGACUAAGGCUAUGGUUGGUAGUCGUGAGCCUGCCAUAGCUCGAAAACCAAGUCAAUGACUAAGCAUGUAGAAAGCUUAUUGAUUCCAUGUUUGGACGAGGGUUCAAACCCCUCCACCUCCACUA